This 146-nucleotide unclassified non-coding RNA is filed under the name uncultured Phlogicylindrium. RNAcentral's name for it is "sequence contains ITS1". The record is from RNAcentral. Lineage: Eukaryota; Fungi; Ascomycota; Sordariomycetes.
CAGAGUCGUAAAACACUCCCAAACCCAUGUGAACUUACCUUUGUUGCCUCGGCAGGACCUACCCGGGACCUUCCCGGAAGGCCUGCCGGUGGACCAUUUAACUCUUGUUAUUUUAUAGAAAUCUGAGAGUCUUAUUUAAUAAGUCA